CUCCUACGCGAGGCAGCAGUGGGGAAUAUUGGACAAUGGGCGAAAGCCUGAUCCAGCCAUGCCGCGUGUGUGAUGAAGGCCUUAGGGUUGUUAAAGCAACUUUUGUCUAGGGAAGAUAAUGACGGUACCUCGAACGAAUAAGCACCGGCUAACUCCGUGCCGAGCCGCCGCGGUAAUUC
RNAcentral lists this ribosomal RNA (179 nucleotides) under uncultured bacterium. RNAcentral describes it as "partial 16S ribosomal RNA". It matches the Rfam family "Bacterial small subunit ribosomal RNA", at positions 336 to 526 of the family's 1533-position model. The record is from RNAcentral.